GGAGGGGUGGCCGAGUGGCCGAAGGCGGCGGUUUGCUAAACCGUUAAACGGGGAUAACCCGUUUCGUGGGUUCGAAUCCCAUCCCCUCCGCCA
Molecule: transfer RNA, 93 nt
Filed under: Teichococcus cervicalis
Lineage: Bacteria; Pseudomonadati; Pseudomonadota; Alphaproteobacteria; Acetobacterales; Roseomonadaceae
Also listed under: 5 other names
Description: tRNA-Ser
Rfam family: tRNA
About the family: Transfer RNA (tRNA) molecules are approximately 80 nucleotides in length. Their secondary structure includes four short double-helical elements and three loops (D, anti-codon, and T loops).
Source: RNAcentral